RNAcentral lists this transfer RNA (72 nucleotides) under Bos taurus (domestic cattle). It matches the Rfam family "tRNA". Rfam says of the family: Transfer RNA (tRNA) molecules are approximately 80 nucleotides in length. Lineage: Eukaryota; Metazoa; Chordata; Mammalia; Artiodactyla; Bovidae. RNAcentral also lists the same sequence under 3 other names. The record is from Rfam by way of RNAcentral.
UCCCUGGUGGCUCAGAGGUUAAAGCGUCUGCCUGCAAUGCGGGAGACCCGGGUUCGAUCCCUGGAUCGGGAA